RNAcentral lists this unclassified non-coding RNA (374 nucleotides) under uncultured Pseudomonadota bacterium. Its description in RNAcentral is "uncultured proteobacterium contains 16S-23S intergenic spacer region". The record is from RNAcentral. Lineage: Bacteria; Pseudomonadati; Pseudomonadota.
UCCGGUUUGUCACCGGCAGUCUCAUUAGAGUGCCCAACUGAAUGUAGCAACUAAUGACAAGGGUUGCGCUCGUUGCGGGACUUAACCCAACAUCUCACGACACGAGCUGACGACAGCCAUGCAGCACCUGUGAACCGGCUCUUGCGAGCGACACCAUUUCUGGUAGUCUUCCAGUCCAUGUCAAACCCAGGUAAGGUUCUGCGCGUUGCAUCGAAUUGAACCACAUGCUCCACCGCUUGUGCGGGCCCCCGUCAAUUUCUUUGAGUUUUAAUCUUGCGACCGUACUCCCCAGGCGGGAUGCUUAAUGCGUUAGCUGCGCCACUGAAGGGUAAACCCCCCAACGGCUAGCAUCCAUCGUUUACGGCGUGGACUAC